This 406-nucleotide ribosomal RNA is filed under the name uncultured bacterium. RNAcentral's name for it is "partial 16S ribosomal RNA". It matches the Rfam family "Bacterial small subunit ribosomal RNA", at positions 30 to 526 of the family's 1533-position model. The record is from RNAcentral.
AUUGAACGCUGGCGGCAGGCCUAACACAUGCAAGUCGAACGAGUGGCGGACGGGUGAGUAAUGUCUGGGAAACUGCCUGAUGGAGGGGGAUAACUACUGGAAACGGUAGCUAAUACCGCAUACCAUCGGAUGUGCCCAGAUGGGCUUAGCUUGUUGGUGGGGUAACGGCUCACCAAGGCGACGAUCCCUAGCUGGCCUGAGAGGAUGACCAGCAACACUGGAACGGAGACACGGUCCAGACUCCUACGGGAGGCAGCAGUGGGGAAUAUUGGACAAUGGGCGAAAGCCUGAUACAGCCAUGCCGCGGGUGUGAAGAAGGUCUUCGGAUUGUAAAGUACUUUAAGUUGGGAGGCGUUACCAGCAGAAUAAGCACCGGCUAACUUCGUGCCAGCAGCCGCGGUAAUAC